GACGAACGCUGGCGGCGUGCCUAAUACAUGCAAGUAGAACGCUGAAGGAGGAGCUUGCUUCUCUGGAUGAGUUGCGAACGGGUGAGUAACGCGUAGGUAACCUGCCUGGUAGCGGGGGAUAACUAUUGGAAACGAUAGCUAAUACCGCAUAAGAGUAGAUGUUGCAUGACAUUUGCUUAAAAGGUGCAAUUGCAUCACUACCAGAUGGACCUGCGUUGUAUUAGCUAGUUGGUGGGGUAACGGCUCACCAAGGCGACGAUACAUAGCCGACCUGAGAGGGUGAUCGGCCACACUGGGACUGAGACACGGCCCAGACUCCUACGGGAGGCAGCAGUAGGGAAUCUUCGGCAAUGGACGGAAGUCUGACCGAGCAACGCCGCGUGAGUGAAGAAGGUUUUCGGAUCGUAAAGCUCUGUUGUAAGAGAAGAGCGAGUGUGAGAGUGGAAAGUUCACACUGUGACGGUAUCUUACCAGAAAGGGACGGCUAACUACGUGCCAGCAGCCGCGGUAAUACGUAGGUGGCAAGCGUUAUCCGGAUUUAUUGGGCGUAAAGAGAGUGCAGGCGGUUUUCUAAGUCUGAUGUGAAAGCCUUCGGCUUAACCGGAGAAGUGCAUCGGAAACUGGAUAACUUGAGUGCAGAAGAGGGUAGUGGAACUCCAUGUGUAGCGGUGGAAUGCGUAGAUAUAUGGGAAGAACACCAGUGGCGAAGGGGCUACCUGGGUCUGCAACUGACGCUGAGACUCGAAAGCAUGGGUAGCGACAGG
This 764-nucleotide ribosomal RNA is filed under the name uncultured Streptococcus sp. RNAcentral describes it as "bacterial SSU rRNA". It matches the Rfam family "Bacterial small subunit ribosomal RNA", at positions 28 to 775 of the family's 1533-position model. Lineage: Bacteria; Bacillati; Bacillota; Bacilli; Lactobacillales; Streptococcaceae. The record is from RNAcentral.